UUCCUUUUCUUUUCUUUUCUUUUCUUCUCGUGGUUUUCCCUGGCCGAAACAGGAGACCGACAGGUCCCCUCCCUUUGACCGGUCGUCCAGACCGCAACCGGCACGGCGAAGGUCGACGGCAGGGGGCAACCCUCUCGAGUUCGGAGAGGCCAAGGCAGGCGAUCGGCAAUGAUCGCUGGGGCCAGAAAAUCAAAGAGAAGAAGAGACCAAACAGGGGGUUCCUUUCUCUGACGAAAUUUGACGACACUCGUCACCGGCAGUUGUGCACAGAGGCACGA
Molecule: long non-coding RNA, 278 nt
Filed under: Elaeis guineensis (African oil palm)
Lineage: Eukaryota; Viridiplantae; Streptophyta; Magnoliopsida; Arecales; Arecaceae
Description: long non-coding RNA (EGUI_LNC031413)
Source: RNAcentral